CGUGUAGGCGGUCCGCUAAGUCUGAUGUGAAAGCCCGGGGCUCACCCCCGGAAGGGCAUUGGAAACUGGCGGACUCGAGUCCCGGAGAGGAAGGUGGAAUUCCUGGUGUAGCGGUGAAAUGCGUAGAUAUCAGGAGGAAUACCGGUGGCGAAGGCGGCCUUCUGGACGGUGACUGACGCUGAGACGCGAAAGCGUGGGGAGGCAAAACA
RNAcentral lists this ribosomal RNA (209 nucleotides) under uncultured bacterium. RNAcentral describes it as "partial 16S ribosomal RNA". It matches the Rfam family "Bacterial small subunit ribosomal RNA", at positions 568 to 776 of the family's 1533-position model. The record is from RNAcentral.